RNAcentral lists this unclassified non-coding RNA (165 nucleotides) under Amblyosporium botrytis. Its description in RNAcentral is "partial internal transcribed spacer 2". RNAcentral also lists the same sequence under 1 other name. Lineage: Eukaryota; Fungi; Ascomycota. The record is from RNAcentral.
AACAAACCUCAAGCACUUUUGCUUGGUAUUGGAGAUGGAGGAAGCCGCAAGGUUCGCCUCCACUCCGAAAUUCAACGGCAGAGAGCUCUCGGUGCGAUUGCGUAGUAAGUAACUAUUUCGCGGUCACCUGGAAGCCUUCUCGCCAUAGAACCCCCAUUUUUCUUA